This 497-nucleotide ribosomal RNA is filed under the name uncultured bacterium. Its description in RNAcentral is "partial 16S ribosomal RNA". It matches the Rfam family "Bacterial small subunit ribosomal RNA", at positions 28 to 507 of the family's 1533-position model. The record is from RNAcentral.
GACGAACGCUGGCGGCGUGCCUAAUACAUGCAAGUUGAGCGAUGAAGAUUGGUGCUUGCACCAAUUUGAAGAGCAGCGAACGGGUGAGUAACGCGUGGGGAAUCUGUCUUUGAGCGGGGGACAACAUUUGGAAACGAAUGCUAAUACCGCAUAACAACUUUAAACAUAAGUUUUAAGUUUGAAAGAUGCAAUUGCAUCACUCAAAGAUGAUCCCGCGUUGUAUUAGCUAGUUGGUGAGGUAAAGGCUCACCAAGGCGAUGAUACAUAGCCGACCUGAGAGGGUGAUCGGCCACAUUGGGACUGAGACACGGCCCAAACUCCUACGGGAGGCAGCAGUAGGGAAUCUUCGGCAAUGGACGAAAGUCUGACCGAGCAACGCCGCGUGAGUGAAGAAGGUUUUCGGAUCGUAAAACUCUGUUGGUAGAGAAGAACGUUGGUGAGAGUGGAAAGCUCAUCAAGUGACGGUAACUACCCAGAAAGGGACGGCUAACUACGUG